Molecule: ribosomal RNA, 245 nt
Filed under: uncultured bacterium
Lineage: Bacteria
Description: partial 16S ribosomal RNA
Rfam family: Bacterial small subunit ribosomal RNA
Source: RNAcentral
CACGCCGUAAACGUUGGAUACUAGGUGUGGGAUUCGAUCAACGGAUUCCGUGCCGAAGUUAACGCAUUAAGUAUCCCGCCUGGGGAGUACGGCCGCAAGGCUAAAACUCAAAGGAAUUGACGGGGGCCCGCACAAGCGGUGGAGUAUGUGGUUUAAUUCGAUGCAACGCGAAGAACCUUACCUAGGUUUGACAUGCAGGGUAAUGGAAUGAAAGUUCCUGAUCCUUAGGGAUCCUGCACAGGUGG